RNAcentral lists this ribosomal RNA (305 nucleotides) under uncultured bacterium. RNAcentral's name for it is "bacterial SSU rRNA". It matches the Rfam family "Bacterial small subunit ribosomal RNA", at positions 335 to 632 of the family's 1533-position model. The record is from RNAcentral.
ACCCUACGGGGGGCAGCAGUGGGGAAUCUUCCGCAAUGGGCGAAAGCCUGACGGAGCAAUGCCGCGUGAGUGAAGAAGGCCUUCGGGUUGUAAGACUCUGUCCUUAUCGAAGAGAGGUGGGUAUGUGAAUAAUGUGCUCAUAGGACGGUAGAUAAGGAGGAAGCCCCGGCUAACUACGUGCCAGCAACCGCGGUGAUACGUAGGGAGCAAGCGUUAUCCGGAUUUAUUGGGUGUAAAGGGUGCGUAGACGGAGAAGCAAGUUAGUUGUGAAAUCCCUCGGCUUAACUGAGGAACUGCAACUAAAA